RNAcentral lists this transfer RNA (73 nucleotides) under Amycolatopsis sp. RNAcentral's name for it is "tRNA-Val". It matches the Rfam family "tRNA". Rfam says of the family: Transfer RNA (tRNA) molecules are approximately 80 nucleotides in length. Their secondary structure includes four short double-helical elements and three loops (D, anti-codon, and T loops). RNAcentral also lists the same sequence under 5 other names. Lineage: Bacteria; Bacillati; Actinomycetota; Actinomycetes; Pseudonocardiales; Pseudonocardiaceae. The record is from RNAcentral.
GGGGCCGUAGCUCAGCGGUUAGAGCGCGCGGCUUACAUCCGCGAUGUCGGAGGUUCGAAUCCCCCCGGCCCCA